AUGACUGGAAGGCCACUGACAGCUGCCUACAUGCUUCUAUGUUUCAUCUUAAUACAUGCGGCCUUGCUGAUAGUGCUUGUUCUCACUAUGGCUACCUACGAGAAUCCUACAUACGGGUACUAUAAGUACUCAGGAUAUGCCGUGGCUGCCGGAUGGUGUAUAGCUCUGGUGUCAGUUGUCCCUAUUCCUAUAACCAUGGUGAUGACAAUUGUCAAAAGAAACGGAUCUCUUAUCAAGCGAGUGAAAGCCUCCAUGUCUCCAGCACCUCUCUGGCAGAAGUUAAGAGAGCGUCAUGGUCUCGAAGAGCGAACAGAUGCAAACACC
Haliotis rufescens (red abalone) is the source of this 324-nucleotide long non-coding RNA. RefSeq lists it as uncharacterized. NCBI's taxonomy places the organism in Eukaryota, Metazoa, Mollusca, Gastropoda, Lepetellida, Haliotidae. The record is from RefSeq and is a predicted model, not a curated record. The transcript is spliced from 3 exons.